Molecule: ribosomal RNA, 460 nt
Filed under: uncultured bacterium
Lineage: Bacteria
Description: partial 16S ribosomal RNA
Rfam family: Bacterial small subunit ribosomal RNA
Source: RNAcentral
CCUACGGGAGGCAGCAGUGAGGAAUAUUGGUCAAUGGCCGGAAGGCUGAACCAGCCAUGCCGCGUGAAGGUCAGUGCCCUAUGGGCGUUAAACUUCUUUUGUGCGGGAGCAAUAAUGGUCACGUGUGGCCAGACGAGAGUACCGUACGAAUAAGCAUCGGCUAACUCCGUGCCAGCAGCCGCGGUAAUACGGGGGAUGCAAGCGUUAUCCGGAUUUAUUGGGUUUUAAGGGUGCGUAGGCUGUGAGGUAAGUCAGCGGUGAAAUGCCCCCGCUCAACGGGGUGAAGUGCCAUUGAUACUGCCUUGCUGGAAUGCGGAUGCCGUGGGAGGAAUGUGUGGUGUAGCGGUGAAAUGCAUAGAUAUCACACAGAACACCGAUUGCGAAGGCAGCUCACGAAUCCGCGAUUGACGCGGAUGCACGAAAGCGUGGGUAUCAAACAGGAUUAGAUACCCGAGUAGUC